This 705-nucleotide ribosomal RNA is filed under the name Burkholderia sp. Its description in RNAcentral is "bacterial SSU rRNA". It matches the Rfam family "Bacterial small subunit ribosomal RNA", at positions 48 to 748 of the family's 1533-position model. The record is from RNAcentral. Lineage: Bacteria; Pseudomonadati; Pseudomonadota; Betaproteobacteria; Burkholderiales; Burkholderiaceae.
CUUACCAUGCAGUCGAACGGCAGCACGGGUGCUUGCACCUGGUGGCGAGUGGCGAACGGGUGAGUAAUACAUCGGAACAUGUCCUGUAGUGGGGGAUAGGCCGGCGAAAGCCGGAUUAAUACCGCGUACGAUCUACGGAUGAAAGCGGGGGACCUUCGGGCCUCGCGCUAUAGGGUUGGCCGAUGGCUGAUUAUCUAGUUGGUGGGGUAAAGGCCUACCGAGGCGACGAUCAGUAGCUGGUCUGAGAGGACGACCAGCCACGCUGGGACUGAGACACGGCCCAUACUCCUACGGGAGGCAGCGGUGGGGAAUUUUGGACAAUGGGCGAAAGCCUGAUCCAACAAUGCCGCGUGUGUGAAGAACGCCUUCGGGUUGUAAAGCACUUUUGUCCGGAAAGAAAUCCUUGGCUCUAAUACAGUCGGGGGAUGACGGUACCGGAAGAAUAAGCACCGGCUAACUACGUGCCAGCAGCCGCGGUAAUACGUAGGGUGCGAGCGUUAAUCGGAAUUACUGGGCGUAAAGCGUGCGCAGGCGGUUUGCUAAGACCGAUGUGAAAUCCCCGGGCUCAACCUGGGAACUGCAUUGGUGACUGGCAGGCUAGAGUAUGGCAGAGGGGGGUAGAAUUCCACGUGUAACAGUGAAAUGCGUAGAGAUGUGGAGGAAUACCGAUGGCGAACGCAGCCCCCUGGGCCAAUACUGACGCUC